This 377-nucleotide long non-coding RNA is filed under the name Capsella rubella. RNAcentral's name for it is "long non-coding RNA (CRUB_LNC004515)". Lineage: Eukaryota; Viridiplantae; Streptophyta; Magnoliopsida; Brassicales; Brassicaceae. The record is from RNAcentral.
GGAGGUCCCAUGGCAUAUUUUACAUAGAAUAAGAAUAAGUCAAUGAAUUAUGGCUGAGGUUGAUAUGCACCUACACCAGAAGAAGAGAAUAUUGUCUACAAAUAAAAAUUGUAUUGAUUUUUUUUUUUUUGUAUAUUAUAGUUUUCAUUAGUAGGGAAAACAUGGAAAUGUCCCAAUGUACAUAGCUCGAUAUAAUAAGUCAAUGAAUACGGAAUUAAAACGAAAAAUAACACAGAAGAAUAUAAUACACGGACUAUAUAUUUAAUAUGUGGAGAAUUAUGCAUCAAUGUGUAAACGUUGGGGACCUCUUCUUCUACUUAUUAAAGCUCUUUUAUUAUUCUUUAUAUUUUAAUUUUUUUUUUUUACCAUAUGUUUUU